RNAcentral lists this ribosomal RNA (532 nucleotides) under uncultured fungus. RNAcentral describes it as "SSU rRNA". It matches the Rfam family "Eukaryotic small subunit ribosomal RNA", at positions 109 to 644 of the family's 1831-position model. Lineage: Eukaryota; Fungi. The record is from RNAcentral.
GUUAUCGUUUAUUUGAUAGUACCUUACUACUUGGAUAACCGUGGUAAUUCUAGAGCUAAUACAUGCUGAAAACCCCAACUUCGGGAGGGGUGUAUUUAUUAGAUAAAAAACCAACGCCCUUCGGGGCUUCUUGGUGAUUCAUGAUAACUUCACGGAUCGCAUGGCCUUGCGCCGGCGACGGUUCAUUCAAAUUUCUGCCCUAUCAACUUUCGAUGGUAAGGUAUUGGCUUACCAUGGUUUCAACGGGUAACGGGGAAUUAGGGUUCGAUUCCGGAGAGGGAGCCUGAGAAACGGCUACCACAUCCAAGGAAGGCAGCAGGCGCGCAAAUUACCCAAUCCCGACACGGGGAGGUAGUGACAAUAAAUACUGAUACAGGGCUCUUUUGGGUCUUGUAAUUGGAAUGAGUACAAUUUAAACCUCUCAACGAGGAACAAUUGGAGGGCAAGUCUGGUGCCAGCAGCCGCGGUAAUUCCAGCUCCAAUAGCGUAUAUUAAAGUUGUUGCAGUUAAAAAGCUCGUAGUUGAAACUUGG